UCCAACACUGCAGUCGUGAGUGCCUGGAGCGCUUGCAAUGAACCGUAGCAGGACGUGGGCGUGUCGAAUGAUACGACACCAACGACUGACGAAUCAGGACCCUCUGCAGCACCGGGCUGAAGUGUGAAGCACCUUAAGCGGGCACAGCGUCGGCGUCCAACGACGCGUCCUGCAGCCACGUUGCGUCGUCGUCGGUGAAGCUGAGGGAAUCGAAGAG
RNAcentral lists this long non-coding RNA (217 nucleotides) under Hordeum vulgare. RNAcentral describes it as "long non-coding RNA (HVUL_LNC001924)". Lineage: Eukaryota; Viridiplantae; Streptophyta; Magnoliopsida; Poales; Poaceae. The record is from RNAcentral.